This 85-nucleotide small nuclear RNA is filed under the name Canis lupus familiaris (dog). Its description in RNAcentral is "U4 spliceosomal RNA". It matches the Rfam family "U4 spliceosomal RNA", at positions 1 to 82 of the family's 138-position model. From Rfam's summary of the family: U4 small nuclear RNA (U4 snRNA) is a component of the major U2-dependent spliceosome. The structure of U4 snRNA from yeast and human has been reported. U4 snRNA presents a k-turn RNA motif in the 5p-SL related to recognition of Snu13 protein. The record is from Rfam by way of RNAcentral. Lineage: Eukaryota; Metazoa; Chordata; Mammalia; Carnivora; Canidae. RNAcentral also lists the same sequence under 2 other names.
AGCUUUGUGCAGUGGCAGUAUCAUAGGCCAAUGAGGUUUAUCUGAGGUGUGAUUAUUGCUAAUUGAAAAGGAUUCAUCCAACUUA